Molecule: long non-coding RNA, 427 nt
Organism: Stegostoma tigrinum
Lineage: Eukaryota; Metazoa; Chordata; Chondrichthyes; Orectolobiformes; Stegostomatidae
Exons: 3
Source: RefSeq, a predicted model, not a curated record
ACACAGCAGAAAUCAGUCCAACAGAAGUUUAAACCUCUCAGGCAAAUUCCUCAUGUGUGUCAGGACUUCUGGGUUUCCGACACCCAUCUCCCAACUUACCUGUCAUCUCAAAUGAUCUGGAUACGAGAAGAUUUGGACAAUUAACGUUGUUUCUCUCUCAAAAGCUUCCCUGCCCUUGCUUCCAUGGUGGACCACUUGUCACCUUUCCCCAAGAAUUGGUCAUCCCAGCAGUGCGGAAACAGAGUUGCAAUGGAAUGAUCAGAAGGAAGGACAACCUGCCAGUUGAAACGGAAUGAUGAACCCCAUCUUACUAUGUGUGGGUCCUGGAACAAGUUGCCACUGCUGGGACUUCCAACAGUUGACCUGCAACCCUGACGACAGUGCAAUAGUUAUAAGGCUGUUAUGCUCUUGGACAAGUAUUGUGAGC